CAAUAGCGUAUAUUAAAGUUGUUGCAGUUAAAAAGCUCGUAGUUGAAUUUCGGGUCCCCGCGCUCGGCGCUUCAUUGUGCCGUCGUGGUGUCCCUCCUCGCCGUAAGGCGUCCUUUACUGUGAAAAAAUUAGAGUGUUCAAAGCAGGCAAUCGCUUGAAUACAUUAGCAUGGAAUAAUAAGAUAGGAUCUUGUCUAUUUUGUUGGUUGCGGACAACGAUAAUGAUUAAUAGGGAUAGUUGGGGGUGUCCGUAUUGAGCUGUCAGAGGUGAAAUUCUUGGAUUUGCUCAAGACGAACUAUUGCGAAAGCAUUCACCAAGGAUGUUUUCAUUAA
RNAcentral lists this ribosomal RNA (332 nucleotides) under uncultured eukaryote. RNAcentral's name for it is "partial 18S ribosomal RNA". It matches the Rfam family "Eukaryotic small subunit ribosomal RNA", at positions 592 to 976 of the family's 1831-position model. The record is from RNAcentral.